ACAUCCACACAUCCACAAACAGACAUCCACACACCCACAGACAUCCACAAACAGACAUCCACAAACAGACAUCCACAAACAGACAUCCACAAACAGACAUCCACAAACAGACAUCCACAAACAGACAUCCACAAACAGACAUCCACAAACAGACAUCCACAAACAGACAUCCACAAACAGACAUCCACAAACAGACAUCCACAAACAGACAUCCACAG
Non-coding RNA from Pelobates cultripes (western spadefoot toad), 218 nucleotides. NCBI's taxonomy places the organism in Eukaryota, Metazoa, Chordata, Amphibia, Anura, Pelobatidae. The record is from the annotation of a GenBank genome assembly.